GAGAGUACUCACUUUGGCAGCAAAACUGGAACCACACAGAGAAAAUGAGCAUGGUCCCUGGGCAAGGAUGACAAGAACAUUUGUGAAGCAUUUCAUAUUUAA
Molecule: small nuclear RNA, 102 nt
Filed under: Catagonus wagneri (Chacoan peccary)
Lineage: Eukaryota; Metazoa; Chordata; Mammalia; Artiodactyla; Tayassuidae
Source: RNAcentral